Molecule: long non-coding RNA, 396 nt
Filed under: Lathyrus oleraceus (garden pea)
Lineage: Eukaryota; Viridiplantae; Streptophyta; Magnoliopsida; Fabales; Fabaceae
Description: Pisum sativum (pea) long non-coding RNA (PSAT_LNC027701)
Source: RNAcentral
GAAAACACAUAUUCAAGUGAGUUACAGUGGUGAAUUGUUUCCUUACCAACAAUGAAGUUUUGGAAAUAAAGAGAAUUGAGAAGGGGACCACAAGUUGAAUAUGGACAAAAUUCAAAACAUCUUCCGUACAGACACUUCCCACUACUCUGAGGAAAGACAACAACACAGCAGAGAGAGGAGGAGUCAUAUAUAAAAAGCAAUCACUAUUCACAAAAAACCCUAAGUUUGGAUAGCCGCCACUGUUCACCCACAAGGAAGGGAGAAUUCUGAAAAACACAAAGCGUUGUUACUGUUCACUAAGAGAAAGAGGAGUCGACGGCAAGGAGAAAAGAAAGCCAUAGUUUUUCUUGGUGGUGAAGAGCGGACAAGAAGGGGAAAACGUUCAGGCGAAACGCU